AGAUAGAAGCUUUGUAAGAUUUAUAGAUUGAAUAAGAAUUUUAUCGAACGAAUCGUAUAUAGAUGUAGCAGUAUUUCUUUUUGGGGUAUGUAUAGGUUUGAUGUAUAGAUAUAGAGAGAGAAAGAUAGGAACAGAUUGAGUUACAGAUCAAAGGGUGUUCAAAACUGAAAAGAUAUCAAGAAACUGAAUUGAAUCUUUCAAUUAAGAUGUGAAUGUGAACUCAGAACUGACUGAAGAAGAAGAGUUGCUGAUUUCACAUUCACAUCUUAAUUGA
Molecule: unclassified non-coding RNA, 274 nt
Filed under: Hevea brasiliensis (rubber tree)
Lineage: Eukaryota; Viridiplantae; Streptophyta; Magnoliopsida; Malpighiales; Euphorbiaceae
Source: RNAcentral